RNAcentral lists this transfer RNA (72 nucleotides) under Streptococcus agalactiae. Its description in RNAcentral is "tRNA-Gly". It matches the Rfam family "tRNA". Rfam says of the family: Transfer RNA (tRNA) molecules are approximately 80 nucleotides in length. The record is from RNAcentral. Lineage: Bacteria; Bacillati; Bacillota; Bacilli; Lactobacillales; Streptococcaceae.
GCGAACGUAGUUCAGUGGUAGAACAUCACCUUGCCAAGGUGAGGGUCGGGGGUUCGACCCCCGUCGUUAGGU